This 4174-nucleotide ribosomal RNA is filed under the name Triticum aestivum (bread wheat). RNAcentral's name for it is "partial small subunit ribosomal RNA". The record is from RNAcentral. Lineage: Eukaryota; Viridiplantae; Streptophyta; Magnoliopsida; Poales; Poaceae.
CGGCGGCAGCCGGAGCGAGGGAGCCCGCGGCGCCGUGACGGGUCGCUCCUCCGACCCACGCGCGGCCGCCGGCCGGCCGUCCGCACGCCUCCCCGCCGAGCCUCCUCUUGUCCCGGACCCCUUGUCCCGGACGAUUCCCGCAACCCGAUCCCACCACCCCGAGCGUGCCGCCGCGUGCCGCCGUCCCCAGCCCACCCGCAGCGCGCCGCCCACGCAGGCGCGCGUCGCUAUUCCCAUCCCUAUCUCCGCGCACCGCCACCCCUAGCCGGACCCGACCCAAUCACAUCGCCAUGGAGUGGUGUCUCCAUCUCCCGACGACGGAGCAGCACCUCCCCGACAGCGCGCCUACCACCGACGAUGAGGAACUCUGCCCCAAGCCUCCUCCCCCCUCCUCACGUCCGGAUGGGCAAGAUCCAGCUGGCGCUGAAGCCUAUCCCACCGGCGCAGCUCCCCGUCGCCAUUGCGCUGCUCCUUCCCCGCGUGUCUCCAGUUCCCCUCGCUGCUCGGAUUGGUGUGCCGUGGUGCCGCCACCCAGGUCAAUUUCAUUCCUUCAGCCCUGCAUCUCCUUGAUGGCUCGUUGGAUCACUUCUACAUAAUCAGUUCUUUGACAUGUGUGUUGCACGGAAGGUGUUUGCAGUAAUGCUUGAGCACAACACCAGCCGUCGCCGCGGUCACUUCGUCCCUGAACUGCCAUGCGCCGCCUGCGGCCUCGCUUCUUCCCCUGUCUUCUGCCCGGGCGAACCCCUUUUUCUCCUCCCAGGCACAGCUGCAACCUCCUUCUCAGUCCAAAUUGAGCGCUGUUUGUCGUACAAGUUGAAUCCCGGCUACAGUCUUCGCCAAAGAAGCCAUCAUCCCUGUUCUGAACUACCAACAGCCUCUGCUAAUGUGCACAAAAUUCAAGUUCAAUAACACAAAAAAUGGAAGGUCAGAUAUGGCACCAAGAUAAGUUAGAAAAAAUGGUUUCAACAUAAUGCAAUUUGGAGGAACGACAGCGCCCAGGCCAUUCACAGCUGCCACCCUAGUCUGUUCACCACCGCCAACCGAGGCCGUUCAAUGACGCUCCGGGCAAAGGUUCGUUUGCCCAUUGAUUCAUUCAAAAAAUAAAAAAGUUGGGAAGCUCACGGGGACACUCUAUAAAAAGUGUUCAAUAUAGAAGUUUAAAUAAUUUUUUUCUGCUACUGAAACCAAUUAUUUGACAGGGAGUUCAAACUUUCUUUACAUGAAAGUGCACAUCCUAUUUCCCACUCUUUUCUAUUUUUGGUCCCACAAACAUUUCAAAUAAAAUGUUUCAUCGAGAAGUUCACACUCUUCCAACUCAAACAUUCAGGCGUUCUUUUCCGUAAAGUUCAUAUUUUUUUAAACCACCACAUUUGGGGUAUUCUUCAGUUAAAUUUUGUAAAAAGAAAAAACAUACUAAACAACAAGGACAGUUCAACAAACAAUACCUGUAGUAGGUCAUCAGUAUGCAUCCAUUAGAAAAAAAAUCAAGUUAUGAUGUUAGUCUUGGCAUUGAUCUUUUCAGAAUAUCAAGUAAAUAAGCAACUUCGACAUGCCAAUGGGACCUUUUUAGUAAGUGCUUUGACUACGACUGAUGGUAGUUGGUAUUUUGUGACGUUGCGCUCAGCGGCAGGAGGGCGAGGAUCUCUUCAUCUCGGCAGUACAACUGCACCCUCCGACGCCGUUCACGAGAAGAGCUACGUGCAGGCCACCCGUGCUCCACCCUGGAUUUUUUCAAUAAUCAGGCCAUCGUCGUCAGGGUUCCUGCCCCACGGCAGUCGUAUUGGCUCAUGCACCACUGUCAUCGGUCCUUUUUCGGUUGGAGAUAGGUAGCGCCCCUAGGAAGCCCCUUCUUCAGUGGUUCAUUGGUCUGUCAAGUAUGAAGGUGAGCUUCAUAAUAGAGUAGCUAGACCUAUCUGCCUUCCAUUUUACAAAUUUUGCUGGGAGCUAGAAGUAACUAUAUGUAGAAAGUUGGCAUCUCUGUUUACAUAAACAUGCAUAACACGUGUGAUGCUACAUAAUUCCUGGGUCCUCCUCCUGUUAUGCACAAGCUCCAAUUCGUCGAGAUACUCUAUGGAGGUACUCCAUUUUAUGUUUUCAAUUCAUCUUACAAAAAAGCAGAACAAACUAUGUGUCAUUUUUGUCAUUCACGCAAGUUCAGGCAUACCUUCUGCAAAAGUUCAAAAAUCUGAAGAAACAAAGCUCAAACCAAGUUCAGAAACUGUUUUUGGAUUAAAUUAGUUGUUUUGCUUAAUUAUGUGGUAUAUGUGUGUAUUGUGAUUGUAAUUGUGGCUUGGAGUUGAGAAAAAGAUAACAAAAAGGUACAUAAAUGAACCCAAAAACAUUCGGUAGUUUCUGGAAGCCCAAAGUUGUUCAACAUGUUUUCUACCAUCAGCUCGUUAAGAACCCCAGAAACGGUUCAAUGUGUGUGUUAAAAAAAAUAGCUGGCUAUAUAAAAAAAUUUAGUAGCUAGGCAAAAAGAAGUUUGUAUCAGUUCAGACUUGCCUGCACAGAAGGAUAGAGGCCCUUGUCCCAUACGUUCAGGUUUGCAUCAAUGCUCCAGCCAACUCCAUUAUCUACUCAGUAAAUGCUCCACUGCUAAAUCCAUUUGAAGUUUUGUCAGGUUUGGUAACUCCUCUCCCUUUCCCUUUUCAUGUAAUGCAUUUAGGACAAGUUCAAGUAUAGGUAAAGAAGAUUCUCACCACAUAAAUAUUGAUCUAGAGCUCUUCAGUUUGACAGUUUUUCAGUUCGUGUGGAGCUUGUCAGUUCGACAACUUUUCAUUUUGUGUGGAGCUAGUCAUUGUUUUAGGUUGCGUCUGGCUGUACCAAAUGCUUGCACUUCUCUGAACUGAGAGUACGCUUGAGUUUCCUGUUCCUUCUAAUCUUAAUAGGUUAUCUUGAUAGGAGUCUAGUGUUAUUUACUAAAUUCUAGUCAGAGUAGUGUAAUCAAAGGAAUGUAGAUAACUUGUGUCCAGGUAUGACUUGUACAAUUGCGUUGUUGUGCUACACACUUGUACUCACAUAUUAUUAUGCUGCGAUACUAGUUCUGAACAUUUUGUUAUGUAUGUCACAUGAAGGUUUCUCCCCAUUCUUCUCGUCUUCAUACUAUGCCUUUCAUACCUUUUUAUAUAAAAAAGCUCAGUCUGAAACUACAGAUUUGCCCAGAGCCUUGACCUAGGACAUUCUGAAUAAAACUUCAAAGAAGUCUGAAAUGCACUUUAGUAUAUAAAGCCUUGUUCAUCAUUGUAUUCUGAUACUAGAAUCUAGAGUAAGAAAUCAAGUUUGUAAUAUGUAGGCACAAGAACAUGACUCCCUACUUGAAAUGAGUACUCUUUUGUUUCAGCUAAUACUUCUUACUCUGAAUUCCAAAAGUGGAUGCACUUAAGUACAACUUAGUAGACUACUAGUAGUACAUCAGUAUGUAAGGACGAUGUAAUUACCACAACCUCAAUGAUUAUAGUAUUUGGGAUGCUCAUCAUUUUUCACAUCCAUCUCUACUGAAUUAUGUUAGUCUUUUUCAGUUCAUCUUUGAAAUUUCGGUCCAUUUUCUUUUUGCAGGAUGCGUCAAAUACUAAAAUAAAAGGCAGCAGCUCAAAUAGAUGAAUAUUGGAAGUCCAUUGCUAUCUUGAGGUCCACAUAGCCGGCAUUUUCAGUUCAUCUUGCAAGUGAUGGGGCUCCCCUUCAGUUCAUCCUGCAGGUGUUUUGGGCAGUACAAAAUACAUCACCAUAGUUAGUACAUCAAGGAUGGCUUGGUAGUCGCUGGGAUUCCCUGCAGUGGCCAAAUCGCCUCCAUCAGCUCCACCUCGCCGUAGCAAUCAGUCCAGAGGAGGAGGUGUAGCUGGUCCACCCGGUCCACCCAAUUUUUCUUUCAACAUUUUCUUUGUGAUGCAUGCUCACUGAUGGAUCAAUAACUAUUUAUUGAUAUGGAGAUGGCCCCCUGUUUUUUUCUGGAAAAACAAGAUGCCUUUGCAUACUUCAAAGUUGCUGCUUGCUCCCACCAGUCAAUUGCAAGUUCAGUGGGUGUCGUCGAGCAUGUUCAGAAGUAUGCCCUUUGUGCAAAAGUGUGAAUUUUUUUUCAGUAUUUUGUAUAUUUCAUUUGGCAGAGGCUUCAUGUGAUCUUGUAGAGCUUUAUAGAUGUACUGUCAUUACACUUUUAAGGCCCUAUAGUUCAUUAUAU